This 207-nucleotide ribosomal RNA is filed under the name uncultured bacterium. Its description in RNAcentral is "partial 16S ribosomal RNA". It matches the Rfam family "Bacterial small subunit ribosomal RNA", at positions 568 to 774 of the family's 1533-position model. The record is from RNAcentral.
GGCGUAGGCGGCCUUUCAAGUCAGAUGUUAAAUCUCCCGGCUCAACUGGGAGGGUGCAUGUGAUACUGCUGGGCUGGAGUGCAGCAGAGGAAAGUGGAAUUCCCGGUGUAGUGGUGAAAUGCGUAGAUAUCGGGAGGAACACCAGUGGCGAAGGCGGCUUUCUGGGCUGUAACUGACGCUGAGGUCCGAAGGCGUGGGGAGCAAACA